UCUUCUUCAGCCAUGGACUGAAACCGGUUGGGUUCGCCGGCUUCGGCCCGAUUGGCCCAUUUGGGCCAGUUAUUUUUGUGGUAGCAAACCAAGAUAGUCAAGAUAAAAAGAAUCUUCCACAAAAGACAGCUAGUCAAGAUAAAGAUGAAAGAGGAAUCAGCCAUAAAAGGCACCAUACCAAGUCAAAGAGAGGAAAGAGGAAGAGAUAGAGCAGGCAACCAUGGGGUUUGGAGCAGUCGAGGCGCUGUGGAGAAUAGGAUGGGGAGCGGUUGGCGUGCUGUUACUGCUAUGGGCUUGGAGAGGAUUGGAGCGGCUUUGGUGGAGACCAAGGAUGCUGGAAAGAGCGCUCCGGGCCCAAGGGCUGCGGGGCACCCGGUACCGCUUCCUCUGCGGGGACCUCAAGGAGAACGCCCGGCUCAGCAA
This 423-nucleotide long non-coding RNA is filed under the name Phoenix dactylifera (date palm). RNAcentral describes it as "long non-coding RNA (PDAC_LNC014059)". Lineage: Eukaryota; Viridiplantae; Streptophyta; Magnoliopsida; Arecales; Arecaceae. The record is from RNAcentral.